GUAUUUUUUUAACUUAAUUUAAUUUUUUGGCAUUGGAAAAAAAAGAGGACAAAGGUACCUCCCACCACUGGAAUCUCUUGCCAGUGGCCUGGCACAGACUGGCACCAUCUGCGUUUUAGAAGUCACCUGAUCGUUAGGGGGUCUACGCGAGGUGAGGGAGGAGACGAAAAGCCCUUUGCCGGCUGCAAAGCCAGAGAGGGGGUCCCAAGGAGGACAGAGAGCCUAAUUUGCCCUGGAAGUGGGGAAAGGGCUGUCCCCGGUCCUCGGAGGAUCCGUUAGGAGAUUUGUGGAGCUCUCCAGGGCCCCCGGCUGCACUCGGCACUGUUCACUUGCUGUUCACCUGCUGUUCUAUCUGCCAGUGGGACCCAAAGGGAGGCAGGGCCCGGCUGCUGGGGUUGCAUCACUUAGGCUAGGACAGCCAAUAAAGCAAAAGGACAGCAGGGGGUAAAGAGCUGAAUCUCUGGGCUCUGAGAUCUUAGUCUCCCAUGAUCCUCACCCCCCACCGUGGCCUCUUGGGAAUCACAUUUCUAAGCUCAAAGCUAACCCGAUGCCUUUUCUUUAGGUCACUUCCCCAGCCCCCACUAUAGCAUGCCCACCCAAAAUCCCUCUUUCUGCCAAGACUUCUGGAGAGAUGAGUGGGGUUUUGUCGAGACAGCCCCGGAUUGUAAAAUCUCUGCCCUGCUGCUCUGAACACAGCGCCCGGUUGUUCUCCACAUCCAGGGAGUGGUGCAAGGAGGUUUGGGCCGGGACCCUUCUGGGGGCCUGUCCCUGGGGUGUCCCUCCUGGCAUGUGCCCCAACAAGUUCUCCCCAGGUCUAUCAAACCCGGGAUCAGCCGAGAGCCUGUCUGACUUGCCCACUCUACCCUCCCUUCAGGGAGCCGGGAACCAGCCCUGCAUUCUGGUGCCCCUACCACCUGGCCCCCUUAGGGAAAAGAGCACACAAAGCCCCCUGUGUCUGCGCUGAGCUGCUCCCAGGGAGGCUGUGGGACGCAUGAAUGAGGCUAGGCUGGGGCCAGAAGAAAGGCCAGGCAGGAGAGUGUGGGGGUGCCCAGGUACAAGCAGAUCCUCUCCCACAGAUGGGAGGGGCCGAGGGCGGGAGACACCAGCUGGUCUGGUCUGGAAGGGAGGUCACCUGAUUCAGAACCCAGCCUGGUCCUGCACACGCCCCCUCCACUAUCACCGAGAAGCUGGUCCCACACUCAGCACCCUCUGUCCCAGCUGUCAACAGCAUCAUGUCUGUGAGCAAUGCAAGGAUGGAGUCAUCCCUGGUCCAUGAGAUCCUCAGCCACCUGGGCUUGGCCAACAAGACUGCAGCUUGGGGUACCUUGGGGACUCUGAGGCCAUUUUUGAGCUUCAACGUGGACAAGGAUGUACAACGGCUGCUAGAAGCUAUUGCAGGCCAAGGUGUGGAUCAGGGCACCAUAGUGAAUGUGCUGACCAACCGGAAUGGUGAACAAAGGCAACUUAUUGCCCGAGCCUUCCAGGAGCGCACCCAGCAGGACUUACUGAAAUCCUUGCAAGCAGCUCUUUCUGGGAGCUUGGAGAAGGUUGUGGUAGCACUGCUGAAGCCUGCAGCCCAAUAUGAUGCCCAUGAACUAAGGGCAGCACUGAAGGAUAUAAGUUCCGCUGAGGAUGUAGGAGUGGAAAUCCUUUCUACCCGUUCCCCACCCCAGCUACAGGAGUGUCUGACUGUCUACAAACGUGAUUUUGGGGUGGACAUUGAAGAUGAUAUGAGAUCAGAGACAAGCGGCCUCCUGAGGGAUCUGCUGCUAACGUUGGUUAAGGGAACUCGGGAGAGCUAUUCUGGGAUAAAGGAUUACAACCUGACAGAACAGGAUGCACAGACAUUACAUGAGGCUGGAGAAACAGGCACAGGGGCAACAUGGAUCACGAUUUUGACCCAACGAAAUACUGAACACCUCAACCGAGUGUUUGACGAAUACCAGAGACAUAAUGGUCAGGAGAUAGAGGAGGGCAUCCGGACCUGUUUUCAUGGAAAUGCCCAGAGUGCUCUUCUCACCCUAGCCUCUGUGAUCAGGAACACUCCACUGUACUUUGCUGAAAAACUCUACCAGGCUCUCCAGUAGGAGUGAUGGAUGGUUCCAUAUUUACAGCCUCUACUAAAAUCUUCCUCUGGUGCUUCAUUGUACUGUAGAGGUAAACCUGGGUUCUCCAGGCCUAUCCCACGGGAGCUCAAACACUGGCAUGGUCUACCUAGAUAUAAAGGCUUUGGAUAAGGACACAGGGGAGCUAUGUCUGUUGUUCAUAUUCAGGGAGCUGAGCCAAACUACCAAGUCUUGAUGCGCAUCCUCAUCUCUCGAAGCGAGACUGACCUCCUAAGCAUAAGAGCAGAGUUC
RNA transcript from Antechinus flavipes (yellow-footed antechinus), 2357 nucleotides. It is a transcript of the gene named annexin A9, with no coding region annotated. NCBI's taxonomy places the organism in Eukaryota, Metazoa, Chordata, Mammalia, Dasyuromorphia, Dasyuridae. The transcript is spliced from 13 exons. The record is from RefSeq and is a predicted model, not a curated record.